UUCCUUUUAAUACAAAUACAUAAAUUACUAAAAUCGUUUUAAAUGCUCAUUGGUUAAAAACAACAAAUGUGUGAUUAUUUUCCUCAUGGACAUUAAAUUUCUAAUCUGGCAUGUAUCACUUUGAAUAAAACUUUAUAUUAUCUAUUUGUAGUAAAUUGUGAUCUACACUUUUAUACAUUUUACAUUCAAAUUUUUAUCUUCAUAAAGGUUGUGAGAUAUUUUUGUUAGUAAGUGCUUCAGACACCAAAUUUUGCAUCAGUUCUAUAGCCCAAAUAAACAAAGACAACAAGAGUGCAUGUUUAUUUUUUGUGAAAUAAAAGUAAAAAUAAAAUCAAACGACAAGAUUGCCGACUUGCCCUUUGAAUAAUUGUGUUCAUUGUCAUCCAACUUAUUUUAUUUUAUUUAUUUGCGGGCACAGAUUUCAAUAUUUUGUCAAGUAACCUACCCAAUUUGCGAUGUCAAAUCUACUAUAAUGAAGGUUGAAUUCAAUGUGCCAUUAAUUCACAAAAACAAUUUAAGAUCUGUAGCACAGGUUUGGUUGAUGCACGCACCUUUAAAUGUACCUUGUGAAGCACAUAGCAAAUAUCAACAACAGCUACAACACCCUUGAGAAGUGUAUUACAAUUCCAAUUCCAAGUGAUGCGUAUAAACUACUACCCACAAUUGUAU
This 669-nucleotide long non-coding RNA is filed under the name Physcomitrium patens. RNAcentral's name for it is "long non-coding RNA (PPAT_LNC000727)". Lineage: Eukaryota; Viridiplantae; Streptophyta; Bryopsida; Funariales; Funariaceae. The record is from RNAcentral.